ACGCCGCUAAGAGGAAGGAAGACAGCUCUUGUGUGGACUCUGAAGACGCAACUGACGCAGCCUGACUUGUUUCCAAGCAACAGGGGACCUGCGAGAGCUCGGUGACAGAUGGACAACUGGCGCUGUGCUCUUCGGAAAGGUCACUCAGCUGUGGGCAAGAAGAGGCCACAAAAGGCUGCGCUGCCAAUUGAUCCACGCCCGUCAAUACGCACACACACACACACACACACACACACACACUGAAUGGCGGCACAACUGUUGACCAUUGUUGUCCGUAGACUUAUUCCUCUUUCUCUGUCAUGUGUUCCAGCGCCCGUAACUUAGCAACCAUCUGGAGAGCCCCAGAGGGGCAUUUGGACAAAAGAUUGGAUAAAUGCACUGAUAAGAAACAUCAUUGUUUGCCUUCUGCACACUACACCAUACACACAAGUUCAGACCUUGGGGGCAACCUGGGCUUAUUUUGUUGAGUCUUUGUUUAUUGUUGCACGUUAAGAAGCCAAUACUCAAACAAGGACAUAGGCAACCACUUAAGGAAAUGUUCAGAGUUAAACCUUUGGAGCUGUGACGUUGGC
Molecule: long non-coding RNA, 572 nt
Organism: Nerophis ophidion (straightnose pipefish)
Lineage: Eukaryota; Metazoa; Chordata; Actinopteri; Syngnathiformes; Syngnathidae
Exons: 3
Source: RefSeq, a predicted model, not a curated record